RNAcentral lists this ribosomal RNA (253 nucleotides) under uncultured bacterium. RNAcentral's name for it is "partial 16S ribosomal RNA". It matches the Rfam family "Bacterial small subunit ribosomal RNA", at positions 524 to 776 of the family's 1533-position model. The record is from RNAcentral.
UACGGAGGGUGCGAGCGUUAAUCGGAAUUACUGGGCGUAAAGCGCGCGUAGGCGGUUUGUUAAGUCGGAUGUGAAAGCCCCGGGCUCAACCUGGGAACUGCAUUCGAUACUGGCAAGCUAGAGUACGAGAGAGGGAGGUAGAAUUCCACGUGUAGCGGUGAAAUGCGUAGAUAUGUGGAGGAAUACCAGUGGCGAAGGCGGCCUCCUGGCUCGAUACUGACGCUCAUGUGCGAAAGCGUGGGGAGCAAACAGG